Long non-coding RNA from Ipomoea nil (Japanese morning glory), 981 nucleotides. RefSeq lists it as uncharacterized. The transcript is spliced from 2 exons. NCBI's taxonomy places the organism in Eukaryota, Viridiplantae, Streptophyta, Magnoliopsida, Solanales, Convolvulaceae. The record is from RefSeq and is a predicted model, not a curated record.
GGCUUUAAGCGCCCACCCUCUCUCUUUUUCAGUCUUUAUGGAGAGAAAUAGGGUUGUGCGUGGCUGCGGGCUUCUUCACCAAAAACGAGGGUUUUUUUUGGGGCGUAAGUAGUCUAAUAAGCAAAAUGGUUUCUUCGCUUCGCUUCGCUUCUUCCCACUUUUUCUUUCUCAAAAAUUUUUCAUCACAAACGAGGGAGAUAACAAAGGGGAUUUUGGGGGCAAGAAAAACAAUCAUGAUUCUUCUUUGAUCUCUUCAAUUCACCUUCCCCUCGCUAUUAAUUAUUCCCCCCACACACUGUUUAUUACACUUCCGUUUUCUCUCUCUCUCUCUCUUUUGGUGAGUGUAUUUACUAGCUUACCACAAUCCCACAACAUAUGCCUCACAUCUCACAUCUUAAAUAGUGCCCACCUGCCCAUCUCCUCUCUCUCCAAGACUAGUAGUUGUUCACUUGUUCUUGAUCAUGGCUUUAAGAACCAAAUAAUGUUCUUGCUCUUUGCUUGCUUGGUUGCUUCAUUUUCAUGGAGGUUUGGCAAAGGGUUUCCUACAGAGCUUAUUGGCAUUCUGUCCACCUCCACUAUUUUUUGACCCAAAAAAAAGAAGAAAUCUAUUAUGGUAGAGGUGGGCAUACUGCCAACAGAGAUCUGUGGGUUUCUCUUUGUAAAACUCCCGUGAUACUCUCAGCUUUCGACGUGUCUUCUUCCUCACCGUCUUAAUUUGUGUCGAAGGGAAUAAGGAGGGUGGAUGGGACUGCAUAGCAAUGGGGUAAUAUGAUUAGGGUAGCCCCAGUAUGGAAAUAAGUUUGCUUUUAUGAGUAUGUAUGUAGGCUCAUGAUUGAUGUCUGACCUUUUUUGCCAUGUAUAUAUUAAUGGGAUGGAGCCAAGUUGAAUCAUCAUGUAUGUAAUGCAUAUUUUCAUGUUGCCAUACAUCAAUGUGUACUACCCAAUAGUAUAGUAUAUCAUUGCAGCAUAAUGUGUAUAUUA